Long non-coding RNA from Cynoglossus semilaevis (tongue sole), 384 nucleotides. RefSeq lists it as uncharacterized. Lineage: Eukaryota; Metazoa; Chordata; Actinopteri; Pleuronectiformes; Cynoglossidae. The record is from RefSeq and is a predicted model, not a curated record. The transcript is spliced from 3 exons.
UCACAAUGAACAUGGAAGAAGCACCGUUUCGAGUUUCGCCUUGUCCACCUUGCGCACCUUUGGUUUGGGUACGAACACAAUGGAAAACAGCAUCCUGGAGGAGGUGCAACACCUGCAGAAUGUGAUCAAGACUGAAAAAGGUAAACCUUUUAGCACAGCACGUCUCUUCGCUUGAAUACAGCGUUUGAAUACAGCGAUCACAAAUUCCAGAACGUGCUCAAAUCCAUGUCAGAUCUUCUGAUGCUGGAGGGCUCUAUGUGGGCCAGGGUAAACGUGUGUGUCUUGGAGAAGGACUGGCCAUAAUGGAAAUGUUUCUGUUUCCUGUAGCCUUGCUCCAGAGGUUCUCCUUCUCUGCUCCUGAUGGGGUGAAGCUGAACACCGAGG